RNAcentral lists this long non-coding RNA (527 nucleotides) under Homo sapiens (human). Its description in RNAcentral is "HSALNT0302397". The record is from RNAcentral. Lineage: Eukaryota; Metazoa; Chordata; Mammalia; Primates; Hominidae.
AGGAGAGAGAGGAAGAAGACAACAAGAACAAGAGCAAGAACAAAGCAGCUUAUGUAAAAUACUGACAGCUUACUGCAAUUUUACAGCAUUCCUCACAAGGUGGUUCAGAAUAGAUCCAGUGGACUGUAGUCUGUUUAACUGAGACCUCACACAUAAUGUCAUGGUUGACAGUUACUGGUUGAAGGAAAUCCAUGUUGGGCUUCUGUGGAUGCUGGAUUCUUUCCUUCUGAGAAGAAAUAUAACACACUGACUUUGAGGUGAUGGUGGAGAAAAAGUACAAGCAGAAGACUUUUCCCAACUUCUCCAUAGGUUCUGUAACUGGAGACUGCCAAUGAAACUGCCAAAAGGCAGAUUAACAGGAGAAAAGACAUACAGACUUCAUCUGAUGUUAACAGUUUAAUUUUUACAUGCAUGGAGGCCUUCAUAGAAAAGAAGUGAAGGCCUAAAGAAGUGAUUAUAACCUGGGACUUAUAUAUCAUUUUAACAAAGAGUAAUAAAUUGUGAAAAGGGGUUUGUCUUCUAAGAGC